Long non-coding RNA from Gorilla gorilla gorilla (western lowland gorilla), 555 nucleotides. RefSeq lists it as uncharacterized. The transcript is spliced from 3 exons. Lineage: Eukaryota; Metazoa; Chordata; Mammalia; Primates; Hominidae. The record is from RefSeq and is a predicted model, not a curated record.
UCUAGGAGCAGGGUUCAUUACACAGGUGAGGCUUUGGCUCUGAUAUCAGGACACAGCCUGCAGGUGGAAUUGGGACUCUCAUGCAUGGAUUCAGUCCAUCAUUGAGAUCGUGACUCAUGUACUUGGAUGCAACUCACAGGAGGCCAUGCCAGUUGAGGGGGAUUGUGACAUAUCAUUGGACCAGCACAAGGGAAAUUGAAAACUCCUGCCUAGGCCAUUCCCAUAGAAGGCAUUGUGACAUAUCACUGGUCACAGCACACAGGUGAGAAUUUUACAUAAAACUGCACCCAGCACACAGGUGAAAUUGUGACUCUUGGAUGCUCAUCCAGCCAACAGUUAUGAGUGUCAUCAUUGCACAUGGACAGAGAACUCUGGUGAGGUCCUGAAUCUUGUACACAGACACAGUCCAGUCCACAGUUGGAAUUUUGACUGUCAUGUGUAGAUCCAGCCACAGGUGUGAUGUUGACCUGUUUAUGGAGUUAGCUCACAGGCACAGUGAGAACUCUCAUAUCUUGACCCAGUCAAUAAAAGAGAUGCUGACUCUUAUAGCUAGGC